RNAcentral lists this transfer RNA (73 nucleotides) under Prasinoderma coloniale. RNAcentral describes it as "tRNA-Met". It matches the Rfam family "tRNA". Rfam says of the family: Transfer RNA (tRNA) molecules are approximately 80 nucleotides in length. Their secondary structure includes four short double-helical elements and three loops (D, anti-codon, and T loops). The record is from RNAcentral. Lineage: Eukaryota; Viridiplantae; Prasinodermophyta; Prasinodermophyceae; Prasinodermales; Prasinodermaceae.
AGCAGUGUAGCUCAGUGGUACGAGCAUAGGAUUCAUACUCCUAGGGCCGUGGGUUCGAUCCCCACCGCUGCUA